This 74-nucleotide transfer RNA is filed under the name Loxodonta africana (African savanna elephant). It matches the Rfam family "tRNA". Rfam says of the family: Transfer RNA (tRNA) molecules are approximately 80 nucleotides in length. Their secondary structure includes four short double-helical elements and three loops (D, anti-codon, and T loops). Lineage: Eukaryota; Metazoa; Chordata; Mammalia; Proboscidea; Elephantidae. The record is from Rfam by way of RNAcentral.
GUUCUGGUAGUGCAAACAGUUAACAUGUUUGGCUACUAACCAAAAGGUUGGAAGUUCAAGUCUACCCAGAGGCA